GGAGGGGUUUGGUUCAGUGGCAAAGCAUCUGCUUGGCAUGCAGAGGGUCCUAGGUUCAAUCCUCAACAUCUCCA
This 74-nucleotide transfer RNA is filed under the name Sphaerodactylus townsendi. RNAcentral describes it as "tRNA-Ala". Lineage: Eukaryota; Metazoa; Chordata; Lepidosauria; Squamata; Sphaerodactylidae. The record is from RNAcentral.